GACGAACGCUGGCGGCGUGCUUAACACAUGCAAGUCGAACGGAAAGGCCUGCUUUCCCUUGUGGUUUGCGGGUACUCGAGUGGCGAACGGGUGAGUAACACGUGAGUGAUCUGCCCCCAACUUGGGUAUAAGCCUGGGAAACUGGGUCUAAUUCCCGAUAGGACUGCAGGGUGGUGCCUGUGGUGGAACACGAUUUUCUAGUGGUUGGGGAUGAGCUCGCGGCCUAUCAGCCUGUUGGUGGGGGAAUGGCCUACCAAGGCGGCGACGGGGAGCCGGCCUGGGAGGGUGGACGGCAACAUUGGGACUGGGAUACGGCCCAGACGACUACGGGAGGCAGCAGUUGGGAAUAUUGGACAAUGGGCGGAAGCCUGAUGCAGCGACGCCGCGUGGGGGAUGACGGCCUUCGGGUUGUAAGCUCCUUUCGAACGAGAGGAAGCCACCUGGUUGGAAGGGUGGUGACGGUAGUGGUAGAAGAAGCACCGGCUAACUACGUG
Molecule: ribosomal RNA, 494 nt
Filed under: uncultured bacterium
Lineage: Bacteria
Description: partial 16S ribosomal RNA
Rfam family: Bacterial small subunit ribosomal RNA
Source: RNAcentral